Molecule: ribosomal RNA, 309 nt
Filed under: uncultured eukaryote
Lineage: Eukaryota
Description: partial 18S ribosomal RNA
Rfam family: Eukaryotic small subunit ribosomal RNA
Source: RNAcentral
CCCUUAGAUGUUCUGGGCGGCCCGCGCACCACAUUGGCACUGGCAACAAGAUCCUAGAUCUGAUAUUUCGGGGUAUUCUACCAACUGGUGUCGUGACUGGGAUUAACCCCUGCAAUUAUUGGUUAUGAACGAGGAAUUCCUUGUAAUCACGGUUUAUCAACCCGUGUUGAAUGCGUCCCUGCCCUUUGUACACACCGCCCGUCGCUCCUACCGAUGAAUCGUCCGGUGAAGUUCAUGGAGUCGCGGCUGCUCCAGCUGUUUUCGAAGUGAAAUGGACCUCAUGAUUUAGAGGAAGGAGAAGUCGUAACA